GGACAAGUUGGUGUCCAGCACAUCAGACCUGCCAAAACGCCUAGCCUCCCGAAAGUGUGUGUCUCCUGAGGAGUUCACAGAAAUAAUGAACCAAAGAGAGCAAUUCUACCAUAAGGUGAAUUUCUCCCCACCUGGUGACACAAACAGCCUUUUCCCAGGUACUUGGUACCUGGAGCGAGUGGACGAGCAGCAUCGCCGAAAGUAUGCCCGGCGUCCCGUCUAAAGGUGAUCCAUGGAAAGCUUCCUGGGAAACGUAUGCUAGCAGAGCUUCUCCCCGUGAAUCAUAUUUUUAAGAUCCCACUCUUAGCUGGUAAAUGAAUUUGAAUCGACAUAGUAGCCCCAUAAGCAUCAGCCCUGUAGAGUGAGGAGCCAUCUCUAGCGGGCCCUUCAUUCCUCUCCAUGCUGCAAUCACUGUCCUGGGCUUAUGGUGCUAUGGACUAGGGGUCCUUUGUGAAAGAGCAAGAUGGAGCAAUGGAGAGAAGACCUCUUCCUGAAUCACUGGACUCCAGAAAUGUGCAUGCAGAUCAGCUGUUGCCUUCAAGAUCCAGAUAAACUUUCCUGUCAUGUGUUAGAACUUUAUUAUUAUUAAUAUUGUUAAACUUCUGUGCUGUUCCUGUGAAUCUCCAAAUUUUGUACCUUGUUCUAAGCUAAUAUAUAGCAAUUAAAAAGAGAGAAAGAG
RNAcentral lists this long non-coding RNA (679 nucleotides) under Homo sapiens (human). RNAcentral describes it as "HSALNT0013659". Lineage: Eukaryota; Metazoa; Chordata; Mammalia; Primates; Hominidae. The record is from RNAcentral.